Dreissena polymorpha is the source of this 3175-nucleotide long non-coding RNA. RefSeq lists it as uncharacterized. NCBI's taxonomy places the organism in Eukaryota, Metazoa, Mollusca, Bivalvia, Myida, Dreissenidae. The transcript is spliced from 4 exons. The record is from RefSeq and is a predicted model, not a curated record.
AUGACUUUUAAUUUGACAGAUUUUCACGGCACUAAAUUACCACCGUAGAAGAUAAAAUGAUCAGAUGCACGGUAUACAGGCGUUCGCGCGAUAUGAUGUGAUCGUCUGCUUUUGAUGAAAGAUCCUAGAUUUAAGUCAUUUUUGGAGAUGUUAGAUCAACAAUCAACGAUGUCAAAGGUGUGGGUUUAGAAUUUCGAAAAAAGAUGCUAAUAUGGAACUGCCAAACAAUCUGAUCAGCACUAAACCUGCUGCAGCUGCAUCGGAAAGCAAUACCUGCCUGAUAUGAUGUCAAUCACUUGCAGAUGACCAAGAUCAUGUUUAGGUACGCCAGAAGGGAGUGAUAGCAUAAAUGCUGCCAGCAAAAAUCGCUUGGACAAGAUUAAAUCCCUACCCGGACAGACCGUUUAUACGUACAUUGUCGGAAAGAUUAUUGUAACCCAAUUCGAAUCAAGCUAUCCUUAAAUAAAAGCCAACACAGACUGUAUUAUCUCCACCAUUACGAUCUAACACUUAACGAUUUAACUUCAGUACAAAUUGUCUAUUUUGUGCUCAACGUGCCAAAUUUGUUGGAAGAAAACGAGGCUAUAAUGUAUACCCUGUUAGAACAGUUGAAUUUAAAAAGAACAUAGAACAAAUAUGUAUCGAUAGGGAUGACAAAUAGGGUUCAUAUAUUAACAGCAGAUUGGAAACAAUACAUGACUUAGCGGCUGCUGUUGCUAUAUACCAUCAGUCAUGCAGCGUAAAUUUUAGGACAGGUAAAAGUAUACCACAGUCAGGCAAUUAAAAAGGAAAGAAGUGUGGAAGACCAGUGAACAUGGCACAGGAAUUUGCUUUCCAGGAAAUAGCAAAGUUCCUGAUUGAAAAUGAUGACGAACAAAUAACACUAAAAGACCGUGUUGACAAAAUGGUAGAACUAUGUGGAGAACUCUCCUAUACAUCAACUCAUAUGAAGAAGAGAUUACUAGAGCAUUUUGGGUCCUCUAUUGUCAUCACAGAAUUAAAUGGAAAGAAGAAUGUAAUCACAUUUAGAAACACUGCAUCAUCAAUUCUUCAUUCAUUUUACCAAAAGUAUAGUAGCGAUUAUGAUGCUUAUAAAAUUGAAAUAAUAAAAACAGCAGCACAACUAUUGCUAACUGCUAUAAAGGAUAUUAAAGCAACAAAAUUGUCUUACCCUGACUCUGCUGAUCUUAUGUCUACACAGGAAAAUAUUGACUACAUUCCGGAUAGUCUAAAAACAUUUCUUAGAGAAAUUUUCAGCGAUAAAAAAGCAGAUGUUAAGAUUGCCUCUAUUGGACAGGCCAUUAUCCAAGCAGUAAGACCAAAGGUUUUGAUUCCUCCUCUACAGAUUGGCUUAGCAGUACAAAUGAAAGAAGAGGUUAAGCUUAUAGAUAUGAUAUAAGCUCCACCUGGAGAAGAAAAAUCAUUAUAUGUGCAUGCAGUUUUGAGCAGUUUUGAGACGUACAGGUUAUCUGUGUAUUAUACUAGAAUGUAAAAUAUGGUAUAAUAGAAGUGUUUUGAUUUUAAGUGUUAACAUUAUAAUACUUAAGUUAUGCGUUAUUUUAAGCUAAUGACAAUGCAACCAAUCUUAGUUUAAUUUUAUUUCAACAUACCGUAAUAUAUUGGCGUGAUUUAAUAGUAACAUGUAUUUAAUGGGUGGGUGGGGUAAGUUUACCCCUGUAAAUGCACUAUUUACAUGAGUAAAUAUGCUAAGAAACUUCAUGAUACACUUAGAAAAUAGAAAAAUAAUACUGUUUUCAUAACUGAUGUAUUACUGAAUACUGUUUUUGUCGGGUGGUUUGCCCGAAAUGUGUUGUUUGAAUAGAAAAUGGAAAAUAUACUUUAUUUAAAAAAGCGUCCGCGAGGGGCAUAAAUAAAAUGAAGUUUUAACAGGUUUGCCCUGGAAAUAUUUCGCUAGACUUUUUUUCUGUCAUCUGUUAUACGUCAUAGAUGAUUUUACACGUGAAACCGUUUCUGUUGCAAUUAGUUGAUGGUUAGGUGCUUUUUUUUCAUAGGAUGACUGGACUACAAGGCGCUUUGUGAUAAUGUUUUGUUUUUCAAGAAUGUUUUAAACCGAUAUCCUAAGAAAAUUUAAUUGUUCUCGUACGUAUUUUUCAAAAUGUUCAUUGUCGGGAGAAGAUUCGGCCAUUGUAUUUAAUGUGUGAGACGCUACUUCUGAAUCGAAUACAGGCAGGUUAUUAUCACUUUCUGAUGGGUACAGAACAGAGUGUGUUUGUGAUAGAAUAUCACUUACAGUGACAUCUUUUGUAUUGGAGCCUUGGCGCUGCUGCUUUAAUCCUUUUUCAUUCUGGUCCGUAGUACUACUUUUCUUUCGUUUCUGUGAUUUUUCGCGCUUUUUAUUUCCUCCCAUGUGUACGUAAUUAAUUGAUCACAGCUUUCAUCUAACAGUAACGGUUGGCGUUUAUCAAAUUUUGCAGCAGUAGUAUAAACAUGCGUUGCAUUCAUGCGUGACGAUCCGGCGGACAAGAGAUAGUGAGCAGUUGUCAAUCCGUUAAUCCGUAUAUUUGGCGCGAGAUAACAUCCUGAAUAAUCAACCUUAUAUCGUCCAACACAAAGAAAAGAAACAAGUUAUAUGUUAUUAGCACAAUUCAUUUAAUUCACGUUGAGACUCACUUGUUAUUUUGAUAUAUCCAGAUAUAUCUGAUAAUCCACACAUAUAAAUCACUUUAAAACUAUAUUAUUUUGCACUGAGACAAACGUUCGCGUCUGACAACACCGGAAGCGAAAGCACAUCUAUAAGACCACAUCAUAUGUGUCAAAGAAAAAGACCCAAGUAGAACAUUUAACAAUGAUGCUAGUGUUUCACGUGUCAUGUCACCGGAAGAACAUACAAAUGUAUGUAUAUUCAUAGGGCAUAUCGUAUGCUUAUAAGCGUUGGCUGUCUAUUACUUAAUGUCAGUGUUUACUUAAGACGAAAUAUUGUAUUGGACAGAUAAUAUCGCAAAGUAAUAUGAAAGCUCUUUUAGACCAAAACCAUUUGUAAAAUAAUGGUCAAUUACGUCCAUUAUAACAUAUUGAAGAUUGUUUGUAUUUUGCUAUUUUCCCUUGUCGGCAAACUGAUUAGUACAUAGUUCAUGACUCUUGCUUCUCUGCCAUGAUAGAUCCGGUAACUCUGUGCACUUCCACAUAUUCGUAUGAAUAUAAUCUGCCAAUUGAU